This 69-nucleotide transfer RNA is filed under the name Pelodytes ibericus (Iberian parsley frog). RNAcentral describes it as "tRNA-Thr". It matches the Rfam family "tRNA". Rfam says of the family: Transfer RNA (tRNA) molecules are approximately 80 nucleotides in length. Their secondary structure includes four short double-helical elements and three loops (D, anti-codon, and T loops). Lineage: Eukaryota; Metazoa; Chordata; Amphibia; Anura; Pelodytidae. The record is from RNAcentral.
GCCUUAGUAGCUUAAUCAAAGCAUCGGCCUUGUAAGCCGAAGAAUGGAGACUAACCUCUUCCUAAGGCU